This 303-nucleotide unclassified non-coding RNA is filed under the name Hevea brasiliensis (rubber tree). The record is from RNAcentral. Lineage: Eukaryota; Viridiplantae; Streptophyta; Magnoliopsida; Malpighiales; Euphorbiaceae.
GGCAUUUGUCAACCCGAUUGGCAAGAAAAUUUCCAAGAGAGAAAAGAUAAUGUUAAAUGUGAAUUCUGGUUUUGGAAACGAAAUUUUGUGCAAGAGUACUAACCAUGCUCUAAAGGAGCUAAGGCGUGAGGUUGGUAAAAUGGGUUUCUUAUAUGAAGCAGAAGUACCAACUUGGUCAAGUGCUGACUUUAAUUUUUCAUAUUCUGUCCCCUCGAAGGACUUAUUUGGUGGUGUGUUCUUGCAGUCCCCACUUCUGCGAGAUUUUGAUGAUAGGCAGAUGUUCUGUUUCUAUCUUUUCCCCGG